RNAcentral lists this transfer RNA (71 nucleotides) under Candidatus Lindowbacteria bacterium RIFCSPLOWO2_02_FULL_62_12. Its description in RNAcentral is "tRNA-Gln". It matches the Rfam family "tRNA". Rfam says of the family: Transfer RNA (tRNA) molecules are approximately 80 nucleotides in length. Their secondary structure includes four short double-helical elements and three loops (D, anti-codon, and T loops). The record is from RNAcentral. RNAcentral also lists the same sequence under 1 other name. Lineage: Bacteria; Candidatus Lindowiibacteriota.
UGGGGCGUCGUCUAACGGUAGGACUGCAGGCUCUGGACCUGCCUGUCCAGGUUCGAAUCCUGGCGCCCCAG